CAGUCCGCACUCCACAGACCACAGGCCACACCGGCAACACCGCACUCCACAGUCUCCAUUGUCAGCUUGUAAGUUGUAAUUGUAAUAAAUAGAGCCCUUUUUCAAUUACUGAAUUUUACAAUUUUUGCUUGGUUUACUUGGUUCUGCAUUUUGGGUGAAAAACAGCAAGACUUAAAUACUUAAUGACCAAAUCACCCACAAUAGAAAAUUAACGGAGGAUUGAUUUGGAGGAAUUUAUAAGUUGAAGGAUUUAUAUAGAAUUAUCUAAAAGUUAGAGGACUGGUUAGGAGGUAUAUAAGAGUAGGAGGAUUGAUUGUAUUAGUAUAAGAAAGUUAGAGGACGAAUAUGAAGUUGUUGUAAGUUCAAGAACUGGUUUUAUAAUACCUGAAAGUUGGAGGAUGAAUAUAGAGGAAACUAAAAGCUGGAGGACUAGUAUGCAUAUAUCUUAAAGUUUGAGAACUUAUUUGUAGGUAUAAUAAAGUGAAAGGACUAAUUUAUUGGCAUUUGAAAGUUGGAGCUGCUUUGGUGGUAUCUGAAGUUUGGUGCCUAUUUGGUGUUAUCUAAAGGUAAGAGGGUUGAUAUAGAAUUAUCUGAACAAUAGAGGAUUGACUUAGUAGUACCUUGAAGAUAAAGGACUUAAUUUUUGGUGCAAAAAGUCCAAGGAUGAAUUUGGAGGUAUUAGAAAGAUGGUGGACGGACAGGGAAGUAUCUUUAAUUUGAAGGACUAGUUUUGUAGGCUUAUGAAAGUUGGAGGAUGGACUUGGACUAAUUAUGAAAGUUGGUGCAAAAAAUAAAUUUUUACAAUAUGAUUUCUAGGAAAUUUAAAACAUAUCAGGUAGAAAUGGAAGCAAACAAUUAUUUUUUAAUUAUGCACAACAUGCUUCCUAGUAAUUUAUUUUCCUCACAAGAAGUUGAACCUUUCAACAUCAUCUAAGGGGGAAAGUGAAUUCUUAUAUUUGCCAUCGACACCUUGUUUUGCUAGUUGAUUAGAAAGUUUAACAACCUAAGCUCAUUACACCCCUAUAACAUACCAUUCCCAUUGUUACUGAAAUAAACAUUUAUUAAAAGAGCUAAUUGAACAAAAAGAUGCUCCCAUAUUAACGAAUCAGCAGCAUUUGGCAUCUCCAAUUACAUAUUUAAGAAGACUCACUCGUCUUGCUAUACUAGACUAGUGAGGUAGACCAUGAAUUACAGUAUUGAAAUGUUAUUAACAAAUCCAAUGAUAUAAAUAACUUUCCCUUAAACAGUCAAACCUUGAUAUAAUUGGACAGAAUUAAAUUUCAUCUCCGAAACUAUUCAUCUUGAAAUUAAAAUUACACACUAUAACAUCCAUGUUUUAACUAUGAUCUAGUAACAUCCAUGUUUUAACUAAAUUGAAGUUUUAU
RNAcentral lists this long non-coding RNA (1385 nucleotides) under Olea europaea (common olive). Its description in RNAcentral is "long non-coding RNA (OEUR_LNC009629)". Lineage: Eukaryota; Viridiplantae; Streptophyta; Magnoliopsida; Lamiales; Oleaceae. The record is from RNAcentral.